GAACCCGUGGCGCAGAGGUAGCGCGUGUGAUUCCAGUCCACAAGGUCAUCCGUUCAAUCCGGGUCGGGUUCA
Molecule: transfer RNA, 72 nt
Filed under: Serpula lacrymans var. lacrymans S7.9
Lineage: Eukaryota; Fungi; Basidiomycota; Agaricomycetes; Boletales; Serpulaceae
Also listed under: 1 other name
Description: tRNA-Trp (CCA) (tRNA-Trp-CCA-1-1, tRNA-Trp-CCA-1-2)
Rfam family: tRNA
About the family: Transfer RNA (tRNA) molecules are approximately 80 nucleotides in length. Their secondary structure includes four short double-helical elements and three loops (D, anti-codon, and T loops). Further hydrogen bonds mediate the characteristic L-shaped molecular structure. tRNAs have two regions of fundamental functional importance: the anti-codon, which is responsible for specific mRNA codon recognition, and the 3' end, to which the tRNAs corresponding amino acid is attached (by aminoacyl-tRNA synthetases). tRNAs cope with the degeneracy of the genetic code in two manners: having more than one tRNA (with a specific anti-codon) for a particular amino acid; and 'wobble' base-pairing, i.e. permitting non-standard base-pairing at the 3rd anti-codon position.
Source: RNAcentral